This is a non-coding RNA of Salvelinus sp. IW2-2015, 220 nucleotides long. The record is from RefSeq and is a predicted model, not a curated record. NCBI's taxonomy places the organism in Eukaryota, Metazoa, Chordata, Actinopteri, Salmoniformes, Salmonidae.
AUCCACAGCAGAGCACUGGACCGCAACGACCUCAACGCACUGGAGUGUGGCAUCCCUAAGCACUUUGGGCUGUUCUACGCCAUGGGCACAGCUCUGAUGAUGGAGGGGCUGCUGAGUGCCUGCUACCACGUCUGCCCCAACUACACCAACUUCCAGUUCGACACCUCCUUCAUGUAUAUGAUCGCUGGGCUGUGUGUGUUAAAGCUGUACCAGAAAGACA